Molecule: ribosomal RNA, 412 nt
Filed under: uncultured bacterium
Lineage: Bacteria
Description: bacterial SSU rRNA
Rfam family: Bacterial small subunit ribosomal RNA
Source: RNAcentral
UCGAGGAUCUUCGGCAAUGGGCGCAAGCCUGACCGAGCGACGCCGCGUGUGCGACGAAGGCCUUCGGGUUGUAAAGCACUGUCGAGGGGAAGAAAAGCCGCAAGGCCUGAUCGACCCCUGGAGGAAGCACGGGCUAAGUUCGUGCCAGCAGCCGCGGUAAGACGAACCGUGCGAACGUUGUUCGGAUUCACUGGGCUUAAAGGGCGCGUAGGCGGACCACCAAGUCAGGGGUGAAAGCCCCCGGCCCAACCGGGGAAGUGCCUCUGAUACUGGCGGUCUCGAGCGGGAUAGGGGCAGCUGGAACUUUCGGUGGAGCGGUGAAAUGCGUAGAUAUCGGAAGGAACGCCGGUGGCGAAAGCGAGCUGCUGGAUCCCCCCUGACGCUGAGGCGCGAAAGCCAGGGGAGCGAACGG